CUGCCAUAUGCCACAGCUAGAUCCCUCUUAGAAAAUCAUUCAUCGCAAUGGCUGCAAACAGCAGCCCCUGGGUAGUGUAUGUGGCCUGUGGCCUGUACAGGCUGCCCUAAGGGACCCCAGAGACAGCC
Molecule: non-coding RNA, 128 nt
Organism: Erinaceus europaeus (western European hedgehog)
Lineage: Eukaryota; Metazoa; Chordata; Mammalia; Eulipotyphla; Erinaceidae
Source: Rfam